Molecule: long non-coding RNA, 373 nt
Filed under: Rattus norvegicus (Norway rat)
Lineage: Eukaryota; Metazoa; Chordata; Mammalia; Rodentia; Muridae
Description: long non-coding RNA NONRATT026862
Source: RNAcentral
UGGGAGGGAGAGCUAAACCUUCAGAGAGCCAGACACGCCUGGGAAACCAGAAGAGACUGCACUCUGCACACAUUACUGAUUCCAGAGGAAAACACCAAACGCCAUCUGGAACCCUGGUGCACAGAAGCUCCCAGAAAGGGCGGCGCAGAUCUUCCUGGUUGCUGCCACCAUGGAGAGCUCAUAAGCAACACCCCACAAGCAAACUUGAGCCUCCGGACCACAGGUAAGACAAACCUUCCUACUCCAAGCGACCUGCCUAGUGAACUAAGGACACAGGCCCACAGGAACAGCUGAAGACCUGUAGAUAGGAAAAACUACAGGCCCGAAAGCAGAACACUCUGAUCCCAUAACUGGCUGAAAGAAAACAGGAAAA